GUUUCACUCUAUAUUAUCCAGUAUCAUCAACAUUGUACAGGAACGAAAGCUUUAGGUUAAAGUUUUGGCUUGUACCGUGUUCUUGUUACAUUGAGCUCAAUCUGAUUGGACACUGUGAAGAAUGUGUCCACAUGGAUAGGAAAUAACCACACACCAUUUCCUUGUACGAUUGUCGACGUUGUGUAAUAUGAUUUGAUUACACGUUCCAAAAUAUUUCCAGAUGUAUUUGGGUUGCAUCACCACCUCAGUGAUCCAAUAAACUAUUCGCGGUUACAAGGCGUUGUUUUGACAGUUAUGCUGUAUUCUAACGGCUGGGACCCCUGUAUAUCUGCGAAGUGCAGUUGGUGUUAACAUCAAGGAAAUCUAAACAAGUUUUUAAAGGCCACUGUAGACAUGUGUAAAACUUCCUUCCUCACAUUUAGUGUUGUGCUUUUCGAAUUCAAGUGUGAAAACUUGACUGCUUUACUAGCUAGAUAAAGAUUGUCAUGAAUUUUCACACACACAGCUUAGAUGUAUAAAUUCGAUUUUAAGGGGUUCAGCAGCAAUUCUCUCCGUUUCGCGUUCACACACUCGAAAAUAAAGUUCGUCACGAACAGGAUUCGAACCUGUGCGGGGAAACCCCAUUGGAUUUCGAGUCCAACGCCUUAACCUCUCGGCCACCGUGACGCCAUUUUUAAAUCCCCGAAAUAAGAUAAAAAAUAUAUAAUCUUAAAUUAAAAAAAUGAUGAUAAACGAAUAUUGUUUGUGUCCGCGCGUAAUACCCAACUAUAUAUAUUAUUGACUUAAAUAGCUCUCUUAAAAUAUGACUCUAUGUACACAUAAUUCCCAUCUCGACUUGAAACGUUAGUAACGUUUAACGUUUCUGUCUAAAAGCAAGCACCAACAUAUGGGCUUCAAAUAAACGUUCCUAAGGCGAUAAUAUUAAAGUAAAAGUAAUUAUAACGUAAAUGUAAUGAAAUGCCGACGUACACUUGUUUUAAGCAAAGCAUUAACGUUAGAAUCUGAUUAUUAUUAUUAAUAAUAUAUACUAGUAUUUCAAAUCACAGUCUGUUUUUUUUAAAUAAUGUUUAUACUUCGUUAAGAAACAACUACAUUUAAUGUCACGGGCUUAUGUCGGAUAUUUGUCAACAAGCAGAUGGAAACUGGCGACGUUUGGCCACACGAUGGAGACAACAUCCAUUCAAUUUUGAAGCUUCAGUUACAGAAACUAGUUACAGUGGCCAAAGAGAUACUACUACUACUACUACUACUACUACAACUAAUAAUAAUAACAGUAAUAGCAAUAAAUAUGGGUGUGGAUCCCUUGUUUUUUCCAUUCUAAGCAUUUGAAAAUGUCUUCUCUUUAUGGCACCUCAGCUACAGUCUAUACCUCCUUACAUAGACUAUUUAACACAGUCAGUGGAAGUUGUCAGUACUUCAAAAAUCUCCUUCCUGGGAGCCAAAAAGAUUUUAGACUGCUUGCCAAACACACAUAUGGUUGAGGUAGAAAAUGAAACCGUGACGUUUUCUGUCAAGACCGACAAUUCAUCUUACCUCACAUACUCCACAUUUACAAAAGAACAACAGGACUUGAUACACUCAAAACCUACCUUGCACACUUUUAAAUUGCAUUAAUAAGUGCACAAAUGUUGUCUAGAUAAUUGUUUGUCGUUUUAAACAAAACCCACUAAACCCAAGUUGAAGUGACACCAGCAUGCAGUACGGUCAAGAGGCCUGCAGGCAGCACAACUGUAGAGAACGCAGACAGUGGGAAAUGAACUGCUGAGAAGCCAUCCAUCAGAACCAGGAAUGCACCUUCUUCACCUGAAGGGAGUGUGGACUCCAGCAUAACAAAGGACAGAUUGGUACACAUUGCCUCUCCUACACACAAAGAAAAA
Long non-coding RNA from Carassius gibelio (silver crucian carp), 1877 nucleotides. RefSeq lists it as uncharacterized. NCBI's taxonomy places the organism in Eukaryota, Metazoa, Chordata, Actinopteri, Cypriniformes, Cyprinidae. The transcript is spliced from 3 exons. The record is from RefSeq and is a predicted model, not a curated record.